GUGCUGGCUUCAGCAGCGCAUACACUAAAAUUGGAAUGAUGCAGAGACUAGCAUGGUCCCUGCGCAAGGAUGACAUGCAAAUUCAUGAAUCCUUCCUUUUUUUU
Small nuclear RNA from Piliocolobus tephrosceles (Ugandan red Colobus), 104 nucleotides. Lineage: Eukaryota; Metazoa; Chordata; Mammalia; Primates; Cercopithecidae. The record is from Ensembl.